GAUGAACGCUGGCGGCGUGCUUAACACAUGCAAGUCGAACGGAAAGGCCCAAGCUUGCUUGGGUACUCGAGUGGCGAACGGGUGAGUAACACGUGGGUGAUCUGCCCCGCACUUCGGGAUAAGCCUGGGAAACUGGGUCUAAUACCGGAUAGGACCGUCGUUUGGAUGCCAUUGUGGAAAGUUUUUUCGGUGUGGGAUGAGCUCGCGGCCUAUCAGCUUGUUGGUGGGGUAAUGGCCUACCAAGGCGUCGACGGGUAGCCGGCCUGGGAGGGUGUACGGCCACAUUGGGACUGAGAUACGGCCCAGACUCCUACGGGAGGCAGCAGUGGGGAAUAUUGCACAAUGGGCGCAAGCCUGAUGCAGCGACGCCGCGUGGGGGAUGACGGCCUUCGGGUUGUAAACUCCUUUCGCUAGGGACGAAGCGUUAUGUGACGGUACCUAGAGAAGAAGCACCGGCUAACUACGUG
This 467-nucleotide ribosomal RNA is filed under the name uncultured bacterium. RNAcentral's name for it is "partial 16S ribosomal RNA". It matches the Rfam family "Bacterial small subunit ribosomal RNA", at positions 28 to 507 of the family's 1533-position model. The record is from RNAcentral.